GCGCAAUGGGCGGAAGCCUGACGCAGCGACGCCGCGUGGGGGAUGACGGCCUUCGGGUUGUAAACCUCUUUCGCCAGGGACGAAGCUUUUGUGACGGUACCUGGAGAAGAAGCACCGGCCAACUACGUGCCAGCAGCCGCGGUAACACGUAGGGUGCGAGCGUUGUCCGGAAUUAUUGGGCGUAAAGAGCUCGUAGGCGGUGUGUCGCGUCGGCCGUGAAAACUUGGGGCUUAACUCUGAGCGUGCGGUCGAUACGGGCAUCACUUGAGUUCGGCAGGGGAGACUGGAAUUCCUGGUGUAGCGGUGAAAUGCGCAGAUAUCAGGAGGAACACCGGUGGCGAAGGCGGGUCUCUGGGCCGAUACUGACGCUGAGGAGCGAAAGCGUGGGGAGCGAACAGGAUUAGAUACCCUGGUAGUCCACGCCGUAAACGUUGGGCGCUAGGUGUGGGGACCAUUCCACGGUUUCUGUGCCGCAGCUAACGCAUUAAGCGCCCCGCCUGGGGAGUACGGCCGCAAGGCU
RNAcentral lists this ribosomal RNA (520 nucleotides) under uncultured bacterium. RNAcentral's name for it is "bacterial SSU rRNA". It matches the Rfam family "Bacterial small subunit ribosomal RNA", at positions 366 to 895 of the family's 1533-position model. The record is from RNAcentral.